GACGAACCGUGCGAACGUUAUUCGGAAUCACUGGGCUUAAAGCGCGUGUAGGCGGGACGGCACGUCUGUCGCUGAAAUCCCCCGGCUUAACCGGGGAACUGGCGUAGAUGCGACCGUCCUGGAGGGGCGUAGGGGGACCUGGAACUUCCGGUGGAGCGGUGAAAUGCGUUGAGAUCGGAAGGAACGCCCGUGGCGAAAGCGAGGUCCUGGACGCCUACUGACGCUGAGACGCGAAAGCCAGGGGAGCGAACGGG
Molecule: ribosomal RNA, 254 nt
Filed under: uncultured bacterium
Lineage: Bacteria
Description: partial 16S ribosomal RNA
Rfam family: Bacterial small subunit ribosomal RNA
Source: RNAcentral